AGAACGAACGCUGGCGGCAUGCCUAAUACAUGCAAGUCGAACGAACUCUUCGGAGUUAGUGGCGCACGGGUGCGUAACGCGUGGGAAUCUGCCCCUUGGUUCGGAAUAACAGUUGGAAACGACUGCUAAUACCGGAUGAUGACGAAAGUCCAAAGAUUUAUCGCCAAGGGAUGAGCCCGCGUAGGAUUAGCUAGUUGGUGAGGUAAAGGCUCACCAAGGCAACGAUCCUUAGCUGGUCUGAGAGGAUGAUCAGCCACACUGGGACUGAGACACGGCCCAGACUCCUACGGGAGGCAGCAGUAGGGAAUAUUGGACAAUGGGCGAAAGCCUGAUCCAGCAAUGCCGCGUGAGUGAUGAAGGCCUUAGGUUGUAAAGGCUCUUUUACCCGAGAUGAUAAUGACAGUAUCGGAGAAUAAGCCCGGCUAACUCCGUGCCAGCAGCCGC
This 444-nucleotide ribosomal RNA is filed under the name uncultured soil bacterium. RNAcentral's name for it is "bacterial SSU rRNA". It matches the Rfam family "Bacterial small subunit ribosomal RNA", at positions 26 to 518 of the family's 1533-position model. The record is from RNAcentral.